Molecule: long non-coding RNA, 317 nt
Organism: Myiozetetes cayanensis
Lineage: Eukaryota; Metazoa; Chordata; Aves; Passeriformes; Tyrannidae
Exons: 3
Source: RefSeq, a predicted model, not a curated record
CUGGUGGGAUGGAGAUUGUGCAGCCCGGAUCAAUUCUCAGCCAUACAGCCCGAAAAAUACCACCUCCGUGGGAAGGACUUGAAGGACCUGAAGCCUGACCAAUUUCUACAUUGCAGCAGAACUAUUUAAGCUCACACCUGGAAACAUCAUCCAAGGGAAGAUGGAAUAGAAUGUUAUCUUUUCUGGUUUGAACAAAUGGGUUUCAUGCUGAAAACCUCAUUAGAGAAGAAGCCAAGUUACCUUUCACAAACUAUUUUACAUUACCUGCAAGAAAGUUAAAUGCACAGUUAAAUCAUUACUUAUAAAUGCCAUUAAAG